GACGAACGCUGGCGGCGUGCUUAACACAUGCAAGUCGAACGGUGAAGCGCCUUCCUUUUUGGUGGGUGUGGAUGAGUGGCGAACGGGUGAGUAACACGUGAGUAACCUGCCCCCUUCUUCUGGAUAACCGCAUGAAAGUGUGGCUAAUACGGGAUAUUCUGGGUCUGUCGCAUGAUGGGUCUGGGAAAGAUAUUGUUUCGGUGGGGGAUGGGCUCGCGGCCUAUCAGCUUGUUGGUGGGGUGAUGGCCUACCCAGGCGGUGACGGGUAGCCGGCCUGAGAGGGUGGACGGUCACACUGGGACUGAGACACGGCCCAGACUCCUACGGGAGGCAGCAGUGGGGAAUAUUGCACAAUGGGCGCAAGCCUGAUGCAGCGACGCCGCGGGAGGGAUGGAGGCCUUCGGGUUGUGAACCUCUUUCGCCAGUGAAGCAGGCCUGCCUCGUUUGUGGGUGGGUUGACGGUAGCUGGAUAAGAAGCGCCGGCUAACUACGUG
This 494-nucleotide ribosomal RNA is filed under the name uncultured bacterium. RNAcentral describes it as "partial 16S ribosomal RNA". It matches the Rfam family "Bacterial small subunit ribosomal RNA", at positions 28 to 507 of the family's 1533-position model. The record is from RNAcentral.